Vespa crabro (European hornet) is the source of this 2118-nucleotide long non-coding RNA. RefSeq lists it as uncharacterized. The record is from RefSeq and is a predicted model, not a curated record. The transcript has 2 exons. Lineage: Eukaryota; Metazoa; Arthropoda; Insecta; Hymenoptera; Vespidae.
ACAAUUUGUACCGAUUAAAAUGUAUAAAACCGUGAGCGAGCGCAAAAUAUGCUUCUAUCAUAAAACGUGUCCGAAGCUGAAACGUUGGGACCGAUAUCAUCGCGAAUUAAUGAUCGAAACUUCGAGUACGUGGUGUCCACGCGUUCGAGGAAAUAGGUCAAAAAAGAAUAAUGUGCUCUCGAGUACACACGGAGCAUUUGAAAUUUACAUCGUAUAUUUGAGGACGCGUAUUCGCGGUACACAACAAUGAAAAAGAAAAAAAGGAGGGCAAUAAAAAUUACAUUUGCCGUGGAGCCUCGUCGUACGAGGAAAGACACGUUCUCUACGGCUUUAAAGCACGAUACGAAUUUAGAUCACCAAUAUCGAAGAGUUGAACGCUCUAAUUAAGAACUCGGGCAGAGGAGCGUGCAUGCGCUUACGUACGAACCGUACCCCUCUUCCUUGCGUCUGCCUUGCGCGUCGCAACGACGAGGAACGAGUAGAGAUGGCCGUCCCUCGUAAGCUCGUCGAGCUCAUUAGACCCUCUUGCUCGUGCUUUAUUUUCUUUUUUCUUUUUUUUUUUUUUUCUAUUCUUCCUUUUUUUUUCCUCUCCUUCCCCCGAGGUCACGGCAUUAGAAGGUAGGAGGCUUCGGCUUAACUUCGUAAACUUUCCUAAUCGACGUAAUCGUUCCGUCGAGCUAACUUUUACAAAGAAAUCUAUUCUAACCGGAUUGCGUCGUCCUAUCUGCUUUGACACCGUCACCUUUUUCAUCGUCCUAUUCGUCUACGCUUCUAAUGCACUUAUCAUGAACACGAAAAUUACGUUCUUUCAUGGAAACUGAAACAUAUCGCUCAGCGUUUCUUGCGUUUUAGAUUUCAUUUUCUACCUACCAUUCGUCUAUCUGACUUAUCGUCCUUGUCUUUUCGCUUAAAUAUUGCACUAAUUGCGAUUAAAUCGCAAUUCUCUUAAAUCUCGCGAACUAUCGUCAAAAGUAAAUGCCGAUCUAUCAGUUUUUAACCAUUCUUCUAUAAUAUAAGAUGUUUAAUGGCAACACUUAAUUCGGCGAAAAGGUUAAUUGACGUCGAGACGAACGAUUCGUAGAAUCGUUGACCUUGAUUAUAAAGCAAAGAACGGGACAAGAGAGAAUAGGUAAAAAAAGAAAAUAAACAGAUUAGAUUCGGGCUUGGCCGAGUCUUCAUCGGGAAAGGAACGAAGCCGGAUGUAAGCCGCCAGAGUACACACAAGCUCGCCUAUACAUUCUAACAAACGAAGAAGGAGGAGGACGUUCUUCAAUCGACGCGACGUUGUCAUCGAACGAAGAGGAAAGAUGGAUGAUCAUUUUUAUGGUGAAACGUGUCUUCGCGUUUUCUGUGUACGCGCAAAUUUGAAUACAUUCGUACUAAUUAGAAUAGAAUUAAUUUACGCAAACGUAAUUAACGAUAAGGUAGCACGCUUAUUAGCUUCUUGUUUGAAAUUCUAAAACUAUCGAAAGAACUCGUAGAACCAGCCGGCGAACUUUAUUAUCUCCAGCUACCGAACGUAAGAUACGAAAGUCAUUAUUGCGAGCAGGAUGAGAAGAAGAAGAAGAAGAAGAAGAAGAAGGAGAUGAACGGAGUGCGGCCUCAAUUGAAAAAUAUUACUUUUCCGGACGCGGAACGACGAGGGGAAAAAAAUUAAAUCGCAUCGACCUUUCUUAAUUACCUUUUGCGGUAUUAUGCGAGAAAAAGAGGACAGGGGAAAAGAAAAAAAGGGGAGUGGAAAAGGGAAAAGGGAAUUAAUCUCACCUUCCCUUCUACCUCUUUUUCUGAACGUUGCAAACGCGAAAAGAUAUAUCUCGGUCGUUUUAUCGAACCGCUGCGGCCCAUCGUUCCUCUCUCUCUCUCUCUCUCUCUCUCUCUCUCCUCCGUCUUUAUUAUAAUAAUAGUCUGAAUAGUAGUAGCGAGUCGAACGGUUUCUAUCUUUAGAAUUGUUUCGCGUAAAACGUUUAACGUUUUCGCGUAAUGUCUACCAUUUAUAUUACUGAAUAUCAUUCCACUAUCGAGAACAAUGGACGCAGCAGCCAACGCUCUAGCCAUCUUAUUUAAGCUCGAACGAGCGACCUUUUCAACGAAUAGUAAAUCAAGCCGCUGACAGGAAAA